UCACUCUUGUUUCUCUGCAUCACGCAUAAAUCUUUCGCCUUUUACUAAAGAUUUCCGUGCAGAGGAACACUCAUUGAGUUUAAACUCAAUUUUUCACAGCCCUUGAGAAAAUCAAGGGU
This 119-nucleotide small nuclear RNA is filed under the name Anneissia japonica. RNAcentral's name for it is "U5 spliceosomal RNA". It matches the Rfam family "U5 spliceosomal RNA". Rfam says of the family: U5 RNA is a component of both types of known spliceosome. The precise function of this molecule is unknown, though it is known that the 5' loop is required for splice site selection and p220 binding, and that both the 3' stem-loop and the Sm site are important for Sm protein binding and cap methylation. Lineage: Eukaryota; Metazoa; Echinodermata; Crinoidea; Comatulida; Comatulidae. The record is from RNAcentral.